RNAcentral lists this ribosomal RNA (230 nucleotides) under Clostridioides difficile. RNAcentral's name for it is "partial 16S ribosomal RNA". It matches the Rfam family "Bacterial small subunit ribosomal RNA", at positions 932 to 1160 of the family's 1533-position model. Lineage: Bacteria; Bacillati; Bacillota; Clostridia; Peptostreptococcales; Peptostreptococcaceae. The record is from RNAcentral.
AGCGGAGCAUGUGGUUUAAUUCGAAGCAACGCGAAGAACCUUACCUAAGCUUGACAUCCCAAUGACAUCUCCUUAAUCGGAGAGUUCCCUUCGGGGACGUUGGUGACAGGUGGUGCAUGGUUGUCGUCAGCUCGUGUCGUGAGAUGUUGGGUUAAGUCCCGCAACGAGCGCAACCCUUGUCUUUAGUUGCCAUCAUUAAGUUGGGCACUCUAGAGAGACUGCCAGGGAUA